AGAAUAAUAAUAUUUAAACUUCUAAUUUAAUAAUAAAUGAUUAAAUUCAUUUUUAUUCUU
This 60-nucleotide transfer RNA is filed under the name Endecameris sp. ZJUH 20220006. Its description in RNAcentral is "tRNA-Ser". The record is from RNAcentral. Lineage: Eukaryota; Metazoa; Arthropoda; Insecta; Hymenoptera; Figitidae.